Non-coding RNA from Aedes aegypti (yellow fever mosquito), 46 nucleotides. The record is from Rfam. Lineage: Eukaryota; Metazoa; Arthropoda; Insecta; Diptera; Culicidae.
CAAACGGCCCUUUUCAGGGCCACCAAAUUGAUCAAAGAGAGUUAUU